UGAACGCUGGCGGCAUGCCUUACACAUGCAAGUCGAGCGGCAGCGCGGGGGCAACCCUGGCGGCGAGCGGCGAACGGGUGAGUAAUACAUCGGAACGUGUCCAGUAGUGGGGGAUAACCAGUCGAAAGAUUGGCUAAUACCGCAUACGAUCCACGGAUGAAAGCGGGGGACUCGCAAGGGCCUCGCGCUAUCGGAGCGGCCGAUGUCGGAUUAGCUUGUUGGCGGGGUAAAAGCCCACCAAGGCGACGAUCCGUAGCUGGUCUGAGAGGACGACCAGCCACACUGGAACUGAGACACGGUCCAGACUCCUACGGGAGGCAGCAGUGGGGAAUUUUGGACAAUGGGGGAAACCCUGAUCCAGCCAUGCCGCGUGAGUGAAGAAGGCCUUCGGGUUGUAAAGCUCUUUCGGCGGGGACGAAACGGUCCGUGACAACACCACGGACUAAUGACGGUACUCGCAGAAGAAGCACCGGCUAACUACGUGCCAGCAGCCGCGGUAAUACGUAGGGUGCAGGCGUUAAUCGGAAUUACUGGGCGUAAAGCGUGCGCAGGCGGCCUCUUAAGUCAGAUGUGGAAUCCCCGGGCUUAACCUGGGAACUGCG
This 602-nucleotide ribosomal RNA is filed under the name uncultured beta proteobacterium. RNAcentral's name for it is "bacterial SSU rRNA". It matches the Rfam family "Bacterial small subunit ribosomal RNA", at positions 30 to 625 of the family's 1533-position model. Lineage: Bacteria; Pseudomonadati; Pseudomonadota; Betaproteobacteria. The record is from RNAcentral.